GCCUCUAUGGUCUAGUUGGUUAUGACGCCGAUCUCAUAUGUUCACUACAUACAAGUGAUUCGGAGGUCCUGAGUUCGAUCCUCAGUGGGGACA
This is a non-coding RNA of Ascosphaera pollenicola, 93 nucleotides long. NCBI's taxonomy places the organism in Eukaryota, Fungi, Ascomycota, Eurotiomycetes, Onygenales, Ascosphaeraceae. The record is from the annotation of a GenBank genome assembly.